GACGAACGCUGGCGGCGUGCUUAACACAUGCAAGUCGAACGGAAAGGCCUCUUUCGGGGGGUACUCGAGUGGCGAACGGGUGAGUAACACGUGAGUAACCUGCCCUUGACUUUGGGAUAACUUCAGGAAACUGGGGCUAAUACCGGAUAGGAGCUCCUGCUGCAUGGUGGGGGUUGGAAAGUUUCGGCGGUUGGGGAUGGACUCGCGGCUUAUCAGCUUGUUGGUGGGGUAGUGGCUUACCAAGGCUUUGACGGGUAGCCGGCCUGAGAGGGUGACCGGCCACAUUGGGACUGAGAUACGGCCCAGACUCCUACGGGAGGCAGCAGUGGGGAAUAUUGCACAAUGGGUGGAAGCCUGAUGCAGCAACGCCGUGGGCGGGAGGACGGCCUUCGGGUUGUAAACCGCUUUCGCUCAUGACGAAGCUUUGUGUGACGGUAGUGGGUAAAGAAGCACCGGCUAACUACGUG
This 467-nucleotide ribosomal RNA is filed under the name uncultured bacterium. RNAcentral's name for it is "partial 16S ribosomal RNA". It matches the Rfam family "Bacterial small subunit ribosomal RNA", at positions 28 to 507 of the family's 1533-position model. The record is from RNAcentral.